Molecule: ribosomal RNA, 440 nt
Filed under: uncultured bacterium
Lineage: Bacteria
Description: partial 16S ribosomal RNA
Rfam family: Bacterial small subunit ribosomal RNA
Source: RNAcentral
CCUACGGGAGGCAGCAGUGGGGAAUAUUGCACAAUGGGGGAAACCCUGAUGCAGCGACGCCGCGUGAGUGAAGAAGUAUCUCGGUACGUAAAGCUCUAUCAGCAGGGAAGAAAAUGACGGUACCUGACUAAGAAGCCCCGGCUAACUACGUGCCAGCAGCCGCGGUAAUACGUAGGGGGCAAGCGUUAUCCGGAUUUACUGGGGGGAAAGGGAGCGUAGACGGGAGCACAAGUCUGGAGUGAAAUCCCGGGGUUUAAACCCGGAACUGCUUUGGAAACUGUGCGGCUGGAGUGCAGGAGGGGUAAGCGGAAUUCCGAGUGUAGCGGUGAAAUGCGUAGAUAUUAGGAGGAACACCGGUGGCGAAGGCGGCUGACUGGACUGUAACUGACGUUGAGGCUCGAAAGCGUGGGGAGCAAACAGGAUUAGAUACCCCUGUAGUC